GACGAACGCUGGCGGCGUGCUUAACACAUGCAAGUCGAACGGAAAGGCCCUGCUUUUGUGGGGUGCUCGAGUGGCGAACGGGUGAGUAACACGUGAGUAACCUGCCCCUGACUUUGGGAUAACUUCAGGGAACUGGGGCUAAUACCGGAUAGGAGCUCCUGAUGCAUGGUGGGGGUUGGAAAGUUUCGGCGGUUGGGGAUGGACUCGCGGCUUAUCAGCUUGUUGGUGGGGUAGUGGCUUACCAAGGCUUUGACGGGUAGCCGGCAUGAGAGGGUGACCGGCCACAAUGGUACUGAGAUACGGCGCAGACUCCUACGUGAGGCAGCAGUGGGGAAUAUUACGCAAUGGGCGGAAGCCUGAUGCAGCAACGCCGCGUGCGGGAUGACGGCCUUCGGGUUGUAAACCGCUUUCGCCUGUGACGAAGCGUGAGUGACGGUAAUUGGUAAAGAAGCACCGGCUAACUACGUG
RNAcentral lists this ribosomal RNA (468 nucleotides) under uncultured bacterium. Its description in RNAcentral is "partial 16S ribosomal RNA". It matches the Rfam family "Bacterial small subunit ribosomal RNA", at positions 28 to 507 of the family's 1533-position model. The record is from RNAcentral.